This 446-nucleotide ribosomal RNA is filed under the name uncultured bacterium. RNAcentral describes it as "partial 16S ribosomal RNA". It matches the Rfam family "Bacterial small subunit ribosomal RNA", at positions 338 to 795 of the family's 1533-position model. The record is from RNAcentral.
CCUACGGGAGGCUGCAGUAGGGAAUUUUCGGCAAUGGGGGGAACCCUGACCGAGCAACGCCGCGUGAACGAAGACGUUAUUCGUAAUGUAAAGUUCUUUUAACAGGGAAGUAAGAGAAAUCUGACGGUACCUGAUGAAUAAGCUCCGGCUAACUACGUGCCAGCAGCCGCGGUAAUACGUAGGGAGCGAGCGUUAUCCGGAAUUAUUGGGCGAAAGGGGUGCGUAGAUGGCAGAGUAAGUCGUUUGUAAAAAUGGUGGGCUCAACCCAGUAGGGCAAAAGAUACUGCAAAGCUAGAGUAUGAUAGAGGCAAGUGGAACUACAGGUGUAGCGGUAAAAUGCGUAAAUAUAUGUAAGAACACCAGUGGCGAAGGCAGCUUGCUGGGUCGAUACUGACAUUGAGGCACGAAAGCGUGGGGAGCAAACAGGAUUAGAUACCCGUGUAGUC